AUUUUCUGUUUUCAGAAGUUGCUGGGUUCGUUUUAUUCAGCGGCAGUGGUGCUUUACCGAAUCUCAGAAUGCCUGUUAAAAGAUCACUGAAAUUGGAUGGUCUGUUAGAAGAAAAUUUCUCUCCUCAGAAUACAUCUGAGGAACUUAAUAGAGAAAAAGUAAAUGAUGAAACUACAUUUUAAGCUAAGAAUGGAAAAUAAUUGAAAGAAUUCAAAGUGGCCAAGAUAGGAAAAACCCAGAACUGGUACAGAAUGAUAGUUUUGAAAGUCAAGUUACACCUGACUUGAGACUGAAGAAGUUAAUAUAGAAGGAAGGAAAAGCAGAAUUAAUGAAUACAUCCAAUGCUUCUCAUGGAUUUUAUUUGGCUGAUGCACCUAAUUUCAGUUGUUUUUCAGAAUAAGGACUUUUUCUUUGAGGAAUGUGAGAGAACUCUGAAUUUCACAAUGCAACUCUUCUAAGCAAAUUGGAAAACUGCACUGAAAAUCCUGAAUUUUGACAUGUAGCUCCCUCAAGAGAAAAACUACUAGAUGCUUAAAAAAAUGCUGCUGGGUUUUUACUCUACGAUGAAAAAGAAGGUUAAUUCAAGGAGGACCAAGAUUUCAGAUUUCUCAGGUUGUGCUACAAUAGUCUUUGACCACAAUGCAGAUUUGAUUAAAUCUUGUAAGGAUGCCAUAAAACUGGCAACAGUCACUGGAUACCUGGAUGUGGUGGCCCAUUGACAUCUGGAUGGCUCAAAGGGUCAUUAUAAGAUAAAGGAUUUGGUCCAAUUUAGUCUAGCGAGAGGCAAGUCUAUUUGAGAAAGAGAUAGUAUUCUGUAAAAUAUGAAUGGCACCCAAUGAUGAUACUUUUACUCACCAACUUGAAAGAGCCACAAUAACUUUGAAAUUUUGUACCAUAAUGAACUCGAGAAAUAUAUUCUUCAGGCAGCUUGAAAGAAAUGAAAGAUCAUUGGUUUUCAGGAAUAAAUAAAUUAGUAAAGGAACAUCAAGAUGAUAUUAAAAACUAAAGGAAUGUAUGCAAACCA
Molecule: small RNA, 1024 nt
Filed under: Pongo abelii (Sumatran orangutan)
Lineage: Eukaryota; Metazoa; Chordata; Mammalia; Primates; Hominidae
Description: processed transcript
Source: RNAcentral